GGAUGGGAGUCCAAACGAUCUGGCUGCUACAUCCAUCACUCCAUUGAUCGCCAGGGUUGAUUCGGCUGCUCUGGCUAACUAGGCGGUGUCCCCUUCCUCCCUCACCGCUCCAUGUGCAUCCCUCCCGAAGCUGCACGCUCGGCCGAAGAGGACGACCUUCCCUGAAUAGAGGAGGACCGGUCUUUGGUCAAGGGUAUAGGGGUAGCUGAGCUCCCCUGCUAGAACCUCCAAAGGAGCUCCCAAGCUACUCAUUCUUAUGUAACCCUUUCCCCUUUCAUUUGGUCACAUGUCCUCCUGGU
This 299-nucleotide small nuclear RNA is filed under the name Mesocricetus auratus (golden hamster). RNAcentral describes it as "7SK RNA". It matches the Rfam family "7SK RNA", at positions 1 to 256 of the family's 331-position model. Rfam says of the family: 7SK was discovered as an abundant small nuclear RNA in the mid-70s but a possible function has only recently been suggested. Two independent studies have found that 7SK RNA binds the CDK9/cyclin T complex (known as elongation factor P-TEFb). P-TEFb activates transcription by phosphorylating the C-terminal domain of RNA polymerase II. Lineage: Eukaryota; Metazoa; Chordata; Mammalia; Rodentia; Cricetidae. The record is from Rfam by way of RNAcentral.